This 406-nucleotide ribosomal RNA is filed under the name uncultured bacterium. Its description in RNAcentral is "bacterial SSU rRNA". It matches the Rfam family "Bacterial small subunit ribosomal RNA", at positions 131 to 518 of the family's 1533-position model. The record is from RNAcentral.
UCUAAGACGAGGAUAACGACUGGAAACGGUACGCUAAAACUGGAUAGGAUCAAUUUGAGGCAUCUCGAAUGGAUUUAAAGGGGCUUUCAAGCCACACUUAGAGAGAGGCCUGCGGCGCAUUAGCUAGUUGGUGGGGUAGAGGCCUACCAAGGCGAUGAUGCGUAGCCGGACUGAGAGGUCGAACGGCCACAUUGGGACUGAGACACGGCCCAAACUCCUACGGGAGGCAGCAGUAGGGAAUUUUCGGCAAUGGGGGAAACCCUGACCGAGCAACGCCGCGUGAAUGAAAAGACGUAUUUCGGUAUGUAAAGUUCUUUUAUUAAGGAAGAAUAUCACGGAUAGGAAAUGAUCUGUGAGUGACGGUACUUAAUGAAUAAGCCCCGGCUAACUAUGUGCCAGCCGCCGC